GGCCGCGUAGCUCAACGGGAUAGAGUGCCGCCUUCUAAGCGGCAGGUGCCGGUUCGAGUCCGGCCGCGGCUACCA
This 75-nucleotide transfer RNA is filed under the name Ancylobacter novellus. RNAcentral describes it as "Starkeya novella tRNA-Arg". It matches the Rfam family "tRNA". Rfam says of the family: Transfer RNA (tRNA) molecules are approximately 80 nucleotides in length. Their secondary structure includes four short double-helical elements and three loops (D, anti-codon, and T loops). Lineage: Bacteria; Pseudomonadati; Pseudomonadota; Alphaproteobacteria; Hyphomicrobiales; Xanthobacteraceae. The record is from RNAcentral.